UACGUAGGGGGCAAGCGUUGUCCGGAUUUAUUGGGCGUAAAGAGCGUGUAGGCGGCCGCACAGGUCCGUUGUGAAAACUGGAGGCUUAACCUUCAGACGUCGAUGGAAACCGUGCGGCUAGAGUCCGGAAGAGGAGAAUGGAAUUCCUGGUGUAGCGGUGAAAUGCGCAGAUAUCAGGAAGAACACCCGUGGCUAAGGCGGUUCUCUAGUACGGUACUGACGCUGAGACGCGAAAGCGUGGGGAGCGAACAGGAUUAGAAACCCUGUAGUCC
This 272-nucleotide ribosomal RNA is filed under the name uncultured prokaryote. Its description in RNAcentral is "partial 16S ribosomal RNA". It matches the Rfam family "Bacterial small subunit ribosomal RNA", at positions 524 to 796 of the family's 1533-position model. The record is from RNAcentral.